Small nuclear RNA from Hyaena hyaena (striped hyena), 106 nucleotides. The record is from RefSeq and is a predicted model, not a curated record. NCBI's taxonomy places the organism in Eukaryota, Metazoa, Chordata, Mammalia, Carnivora, Hyaenidae.
GUGCUCGCUUCAGCAGCACACAUAUUCAAGUGGAAGGAUACAGAGAAGACUAGCAUGGCCCCUGCGCAAGGAUGAUACCCAAAUUCUUGAAUCGCUUGGCAGCAAG